AAACAUAAUAAUUGAUAUAAUGCAUAUAUAUAUGAAGAGUCAAUAAUAAUUCACGAGUCCAGAGAUCUUAGGAAAUAAAGCAAGCAUAAUGUCAUAGGAAACGAUAAAAAUAGACAUGAAUAAUAAGUAAGGGAAAAUAGGGAAAUUCAAACGGUAUUUCUGGGUCCAUGAUAGCAUCAACGCUCGGGAUAUAGUGGAGUCUCC
This 204-nucleotide long non-coding RNA is filed under the name Lathyrus oleraceus (garden pea). RNAcentral describes it as "Pisum sativum (pea) long non-coding RNA (PSAT_LNC035354)". The record is from RNAcentral. Lineage: Eukaryota; Viridiplantae; Streptophyta; Magnoliopsida; Fabales; Fabaceae.